UAAUGCUUAUUUAUUCACAUUGUUUUGAAUUAAUCAUGCAUUAUUUUGUAGCUAUGAAAUUUUGGUGAAGUAACUGUUAAGUUUUAGAAUGAUAUUGUGGGAUUGGUGUGAAAGGCCACAUCUGGCCAGUUUCAUCAUAAAUAUAUUUUUGGCCA
This is a long non-coding RNA of Octopus sinensis (East Asian common octopus), 155 nucleotides long. RefSeq lists it as uncharacterized. The record is from RefSeq and is a predicted model, not a curated record. The transcript is spliced from 3 exons. Lineage: Eukaryota; Metazoa; Mollusca; Cephalopoda; Octopoda; Octopodidae.